UCCGUAGGCGGAUUGAUAAGUCAGAGGUGAAAUCCCACAGCUUAACUGUGGAACUGCCUUUGAAACUGUUAGUCUUGAGUUAUAUGGAAGUAGAUAGAAUGUGUAGUGUAGCGGUGAAAUGCAUAGAGAUUACACAGAAUACCAAUUGCGAAGGCAGUCUACUACGUAUAUACUGACGCUAAUGGACGAAAGCGUGGGGAGCGAACAGGAUUAGAUACCCUGGUAGUCC
RNAcentral lists this ribosomal RNA (229 nucleotides) under uncultured bacterium. Its description in RNAcentral is "partial 16S ribosomal RNA". It matches the Rfam family "Bacterial small subunit ribosomal RNA", at positions 568 to 796 of the family's 1533-position model. The record is from RNAcentral.